RNAcentral lists this ribosomal RNA (253 nucleotides) under uncultured bacterium. Its description in RNAcentral is "partial 16S ribosomal RNA". It matches the Rfam family "Bacterial small subunit ribosomal RNA", at positions 524 to 776 of the family's 1533-position model. The record is from RNAcentral.
UACGGAGGGUGCGAGCGUUAAUCGGAAUUACUGGGCGUAAAGCGCGCGUAGGCGGCUGUGUAAGUCGGAUGUGAAAGCCCUGGGCUUAACCUGGGAACUGCGUUCGAUACUGCACAACUAGAGUAUGGGAGAGGGAAGUGGAAUUUCCGGUGUAGCGGUGAAAUGCGUAGAUAUCGGAAGGAACACCAGUGGCGAAGGCGACUUCCUGGCCCAAUACUGACGCUGAGGUGCGAAAGCGUGGGGAGCAAACAGG